Long non-coding RNA from Apis mellifera (honey bee), 221 nucleotides. RefSeq lists it as uncharacterized. The transcript has 2 exons. The record is from RefSeq and is a predicted model, not a curated record. NCBI's taxonomy places the organism in Eukaryota, Metazoa, Arthropoda, Insecta, Hymenoptera, Apidae.
UAAGUGACGAAGCGCCGAGUGAAUGUUCGGUAGAAGUGGAUUUCUAGUGGCUUUAUAGACGAAGGGGAAAGGCCGCACCCGAUAAACCAGAUCGAUAUAAUCUUGUCACCGAAAUGGCUUUCUUCAAUCUCACAAUUAAGGAUAAGAUACUAAUAUACAGUAAAAAAGAAGCUUCAUCAAAAAAACAUAGUUUAAAGUCAAUACUUUCCCAAAAAAAAAAA